GACGGAGGAGGCUAGCGUUGUUCGGAAUUACUGGGCGUAAAGCGCACGUAGGCGGUUGCGUAAGUCGGGGGUGAAAGCCCGGGGCUUAACCUCGGAAAUGCCUUCGAGACUGCGCGGCUUGAGACUGGAAGAGGAGAGCGGAAUUCCCAGUGUAGAGGUGAAAUUCGUAGAUAUUGGGAAGAACACCGGUGGCGAAGGCGGCUCUCUGGUCCAGUUCUGACGCUGAGGUGCGAAAGCGUGGGGAGCAAAC
RNAcentral lists this ribosomal RNA (250 nucleotides) under uncultured bacterium. RNAcentral describes it as "partial 16S ribosomal RNA". It matches the Rfam family "Bacterial small subunit ribosomal RNA", at positions 524 to 773 of the family's 1533-position model. The record is from RNAcentral.